CUCCUGUGAUCACGUCCCUCUGCCGACACGGCAGCUCAGAAGCUGCCGGAGCUGUCACCUGCCUACAUGGGGCUGCACGCUUGCUUUGGGUCACUGUCACACACAACAAGCAAGUGGGUGGCCAUGUGCGACCUGCACCGGGCUGGCAGAGCCCUGCUUUGGCCAUUGGCACCUCUGAUGGGAUUUGCCACCACAGAAGAGCAGCCUCCAACUCCUUUCCAAACAUCUCCUUUCUACUUCACCUGGUUUGGCUGGAUCAUAACCCCCAGAGGUGAGGGAAGACUGGGAACACUUUAAGAGGCAUGCAGCAGCUGCCCCGUUUCUUUCCCUGACUUCAUCAAACUCUAACGGAAGUUGGAUGGCUUCAGAAUAAUUUCACCAGUGAGUUUGCUGCUGUGCUUGUUAGAAGGUGGAAAGGGAUGUGCUAUGAGAUGUUUUUUCUCUCUCCUCUCAGCUUUCUCAUGCCCUUCACAUUCCCCAUUGUAACCACCAGCAAUUUUACCUCUGGUAAAAUCUUCAAUGUGAUUUUAGUGGAAAUCAGAGAACUUCCUGGAUUGGCUUUUUGGGCUGCCACUGCUACGUGAGGUGGUUGGGACCUGGAGCUGGGUAGGUCUGGAUCUGGACUCCCCAGUCCUGCUGGCCAUAGGGGACUGGGAUGCCCUGAGGGACCACCCUGGUUCUCCAAGAACCACACUUGCAUGAAGUUGAGUUCCUUGUGCUGGCUCCUUCCCCAUGCAAGAUUUGCAAAACUAUAGCUCUUCCCCAAUGAUAUUAAAGACCUGGUUAGUGGAAAUUUGUACACAUUCCCCCCCCCCAACACAAUGUGAUGCUAGAGCAUUAUCCCACGUUAUUUGUUCCCAGGCUGUGUUGAUCACACUCCUACAAGCUCAGAGUUCAUGCCUCUCCUCUCCAACACAAUAUUCACUGAACUAGCAAAUGAAAAGUCACAACACAGUUUGGAGUACUGGGGA
Molecule: long non-coding RNA, 971 nt
Filed under: Anser brachyrhynchus (Pink-footed goose)
Lineage: Eukaryota; Metazoa; Chordata; Aves; Anseriformes; Anatidae
Description: lncRNA (ENSABRG00000005670.1)
Source: RNAcentral